UUGGAGCCGCGGAGUGACUGCAGGCCCAAGGGCUGACGCUCGCAACUGAUUGGCUGCUCUGCCUCAGACCUGCUGACAAUAGAAAUUAACAGAGCCAGGUGGGCAUAUCCGCAGGCGCAAGGAGUAUUGGAGUGGAGGGAGAUAGAAAGAGCUUCAGGAGAGAAAGAAAAAAAAGUCAUUAUGUGCUGUGAAGCAUGCUAACAGUGCAGCAGGAUGUGAUGGUUUGAUAGAUAUCUCCAGUUGGAGGGGGGCUACGUGGGAAGAGGAGCCCGGGGCUGAAGAUGAGGUGUGUGUUCUG
Long non-coding RNA from Oreochromis niloticus (Nile tilapia), 298 nucleotides. RefSeq lists it as uncharacterized. The transcript is spliced from 3 exons. Lineage: Eukaryota; Metazoa; Chordata; Actinopteri; Cichliformes; Cichlidae. The record is from RefSeq and is a predicted model, not a curated record.